Molecule: ribosomal RNA, 519 nt
Filed under: uncultured Rothia sp.
Lineage: Bacteria; Bacillati; Actinomycetota; Actinomycetes; Micrococcales; Micrococcaceae
Description: bacterial SSU rRNA
Rfam family: Bacterial small subunit ribosomal RNA
Source: RNAcentral
CGGGUCAACGUCUACGAGUACGGUAGUUUACGACUCCGUACGGCUCGAGGACACGCUGGCGGCGUGCUUAACACAUGCAAGUCGAACGAUGAAGCCUAGCUUGCUAGGUGGAUUAGUGGCGAACGGGUGAGUAAUACGUGAGUAACCUACCUUUAACUCUGGGAUAAGCCUGGGAAACUGGGUCUAAUACCGGAUACGACCAAGUCUCCGCAUGGGGUGUUGGUGGAAAGCGUUAUGUAGUGGUUAUAGAUGGGCUCACGGCCUAUCAGCUUGUUGGUGAGGUAACGGCUCACCAAGGCGACGACGGGUAGCCGGCCUGAGAGGGUGACCGGCCACACUGGGACUGAGACACGGCCCAGACUCCUACGGGAGGCAGCAGUGGGGAAUAUUGCACAAUGGGCGCAAGCCUGAUGCAGCGACGCCGCGUGAGGGAUGACGGCCUUCGGGUUGUAAACCUCCGUUAGCAGGGAAGAAGAGAGAUUGACGGUACCUGCAGAGAAAGCGCCGGCUAACUACGUG